Molecule: ribosomal RNA, 274 nt
Filed under: uncultured bacterium
Lineage: Bacteria
Description: partial 16S ribosomal RNA
Rfam family: Bacterial small subunit ribosomal RNA
Source: RNAcentral
AUACGGAGGGGGCUAGCGUUGUUCGGAAUUACUGGGCGUAAAGCGCGCGUAGGCGGAUUGGUCAGUUAGGGGUGAAAUCCCAGGGCUUAACCCUGGAACUGCCUCUAAUACUGCCAGUCUUGAGUUCGGGAGAGGUGAGUGGAAUUCCUAGUGUAGAGGUGGAAUUCGUAGAUAUUAGGAAGAACACCAGUGGCGAAGGCGGCUCACUGGCCCGAUACUGACGCUGAGGCGCGAAAGCGUGGGGAGCAAACAGGAUUAGAUACCCUAGUAGUCC